GAGUACACGUGGACAAUCUGCCCCCCGGCCCGGGAUAGCCCAGGGAAACCUGGAUUAAUACCGGAUGAGACGGGACCCGCGAAGGCGGGACCCGGGAAAGGCGCUGCGGCGCCGGCGGGGGAUGAGUCUGCGUCCCAUUAGCUAGACGGCGGGGUAACGGCCCACCGUGGCGACGAUGGGUAGCCGGCCUGAGAGGGUGGACGGCCACAUUGGAACUGAGACACGGUCCAGACUCCUACGGGAGGCAGCAGCUAAGAAUCUUCCGCAAUGGGCGAAAGCCUGACGGAGCGACGCCGCGUGAACGAAGAAGGCCGUGAGGUUGUAAAGUUCUUUUCGGGAGGGGGAACAACCGUGGCAGGGAAUGGCCGCGGGAUGACGUGAAUCCCGGAAUAAGCCCCGGCUAACUACGUGCCAGCAGCAGC
This 422-nucleotide ribosomal RNA is filed under the name uncultured bacterium. Its description in RNAcentral is "bacterial SSU rRNA". It matches the Rfam family "Bacterial small subunit ribosomal RNA", at positions 108 to 518 of the family's 1533-position model. The record is from RNAcentral.